RNAcentral lists this ribosomal RNA (394 nucleotides) under uncultured bacterium. Its description in RNAcentral is "bacterial SSU rRNA". It matches the Rfam family "Bacterial small subunit ribosomal RNA", at positions 28 to 423 of the family's 1533-position model. The record is from RNAcentral.
GACGAACGCUGGCGGCGUGCUUAACACAUGCAAGUCGAGCGGUAAGGCCCUUUCGGGGGUACACGAGCGGCGAACGGGUGAGUAACACGUGGGUGACCUGCCCUUAGCUCUGGGAUAAGCCUGGGAAACUGGGUCUAAUACCGGAUAUGACUCCAUGACGCAUGUUGUGGGGUGGAAAGCCUUGUGCGGCUAGGGAUGGGCCCGCGGCCUAUCAGCUUGUUGGUGGGGUGAUGGCCUACCAAGGCGACGACGGGUAGCCGGCCUGAGAGGGCGACCGGCCACACUGGGACUGAGAUACGGCCCAGACUCCUACGGGAGGCAGCAGUGGGGAAUUUUGGACAAUGGGGGAAACCCUGAUCCAGCCAUUCCGCGUGAGUGAAGAAGGCCUUCGGUU